Molecule: ribosomal RNA, 460 nt
Filed under: uncultured bacterium
Lineage: Bacteria
Description: partial 16S ribosomal RNA
Rfam family: Bacterial small subunit ribosomal RNA
Source: RNAcentral
CCUACGGGUGGCAGCAGUGAGGAAUAUUGGUCAAUGGGCGUAAGCCUGAACCAGCCAAGUCGCGUGAAGGAUGACUGCCCUAUGGUUUGUAAACUUCUUUUAUAAGGGAAUAAAGUGCGGCACGUGUGCUGUUUUGUAUGUACCUUAUGAAUAAGGAUCGGCUAACUCCGUGCCAGCAGCCGCGGUAAUACGGAGGAUCCGAGCGUUAUCCGGAUUUAUUGGGUUUAAAGGGUGCGUAGGUGGGUUUUUAAGUCAGUGGUGAAAGUUUGUGGCUCAACCGUAGAAUUGCAGUUGAAACUGGCAGGCUUGAGUACAGUUGAGGCAGGCGGAAUUCGUGGUGUAGCGGUGAAAUGCUUAGAUAUCACGCAGAACUCCGAUUGCGAAGGCAGCUUACUAAGCCGCGACUGACACUGAUGCUCGAAAGCGUGGGGAUCAAACAGGAUUAGAUACCCGGGUAGUC